UGGGGAAUUUUGGACAAUGGGCGAAAGCCUGAUCCAGCAAUGCCGCGUGUGUGAAGAAGGCCUUCGGGUUGUAAAGCACUUUUGUCCGGAAAGAAAUCCUUGGCUCUAAUACAGUCGGGGGAUGACGGUACCGGAAGAAUAAGCACCGGCUAACUACGUGCCAGCAGCCGCGGUAAUACGUAGGGUGCAAGCGUUAAUCGGAAUUACUGGGCGUAAAGCGUGCGCAGGCGGUUUGCUAAGACCGAUGUGAAAUCCCCGGGCUCAACCUGGGAACUGCAUUGGUGACUGGCAGGCUAGAGUAUGGCAGAGGGGGGUAGAAUUCCACGUGUAGCAGUGAAAUGCGUAGAGAUGUGGAGGAAUACCGAUGGCGAAGGCAGCCCCCUGGGCAAUACUGACGCUCAUGCACGAAAGCGUGGGGAGCAAACAGGAUUAGAUACCCUGGUAGUCCACGCCCUAAACGAUGUCAACUAGUUGUUGGGGAUCAUUCCUUAGUAACGUAGCUAACGCGUGAAGUUGACCGCCUGGGGAGUACGGUCGCAAGAUUAAAAACUUAAAUGAAUUGACGGGGUCAUAGCUGUUUCCU
This 583-nucleotide ribosomal RNA is filed under the name uncultured bacterium. RNAcentral describes it as "partial 16S ribosomal RNA". It matches the Rfam family "Bacterial small subunit ribosomal RNA", at positions 355 to 1375 of the family's 1533-position model. The record is from RNAcentral.